GACGAACGCUGGCGGCGUGCCUAAUACAUGCAAGUAGAACGCAGUUGCGAACGGGUGAGUAUCGCGUAGGUAACUGCCUCAUAGCGGGGGAUAACUUACUGAAACGAUAGCCAAUACCGCAUACUGUGAGAUGGACCUGCGUUGUAUUAGCUAGUUGGUGUGGUAAAGGCUCACCAAGGCGACUAUACAUAGCCGACCUGGGAGGGUGAUCGGGCACACUGGGACUGGGACACGGCCCAAAAUCCCACGGGAGGCAGCAGUAGGGAAUCUUCGGAAAUGGACGGAAGUCUGACCGAGCAACGCCGCGUGAGUGAAGAAGGUUUUCGGAUCGUAAAGCUCUGUUGUUAGAGAAGCGGUAACUAAACAGAAAGGAACGGCUAACUACGUGCCAGCAGCCGCGGUAAUAC
RNAcentral lists this ribosomal RNA (407 nucleotides) under uncultured bacterium. RNAcentral's name for it is "partial 16S ribosomal RNA". It matches the Rfam family "Bacterial small subunit ribosomal RNA", at positions 28 to 526 of the family's 1533-position model. The record is from RNAcentral.